Molecule: transfer RNA, 71 nt
Filed under: Candidatus Dojkabacteria bacterium CG_4_10_14_0_2_um_filter_Dojkabacteria_WS6_41_15
Lineage: Bacteria
Also listed under: 2 other names
Description: tRNA-Trp
Rfam family: tRNA
About the family: Transfer RNA (tRNA) molecules are approximately 80 nucleotides in length. Their secondary structure includes four short double-helical elements and three loops (D, anti-codon, and T loops).
Source: RNAcentral
GGGGGUAUAGUUUAAUGGUAAAAUGGCGGUCUCCAAAACCACUGUUCUUGGUUCGAGUCCAAGUACCCCUG